GUAGAAAGAAGUCAUUCCUAGAGAAUAACUUUGGAGAAUAUGAAACAUGACCAUAAGAGGAUGGAUCAUUCAAAACUCACAAAGGACAACAACCAGAACAAAUAAGCUUAUGAUGAAAUAAAGGCUCAACAAGGCUUCUCCUUACAGGCGGCUUCUUAGCUUGUUGAACUGGCAUGGCUGCAUAUUAUUAAAGCAACAGCAAGGUUUUGGGUCCAGGAUAGUUUAAGAACAAACUUUUCGAUAUCAAGGAAAAGGAUAUAUCCAGGGAAUAAGACCAAGAUUGCCCAUCUUACAUCAUUUACCAUGGAGCAGACCUCAGUGUUCACAAGAGAGGAAGAUGCCUACAGACCUGGGCUCAACAUGAAUAACUUCAGAGACAAAUGCUACAAAAAGUGAAGUGAUGAGCAGCCAGUGAUCAGCAAAUGUGAUAUAUGAGGGAGAAGGCAAGGUGGGAGCUUUGGGAGAAACCU
Molecule: long non-coding RNA, 470 nt
Filed under: Fukomys damarensis (Damara mole-rat)
Lineage: Eukaryota; Metazoa; Chordata; Mammalia; Rodentia; Bathyergidae
Description: lncRNA (ENSFDAG00000025338.1)
Source: RNAcentral